CCGGCACGGGUGAGUAACACGUAUCCAACCUGCCGUCUACUCUUGGACAGCCUUCUGAAAGGAAGAUUAAUACAAGAUGGCAUCAUGAGUCCGCAUGUUCACAUGAUUAAAGGUAUUCCGGUAGACGAUGGGGAUGCGUUCCAUUAGAUAGUAGGCGGGGUAACGGCCCACCCAGUCUUCGAUGGAUAGGGGUUCUGAGAGGAAGGUCCCCCACAUUGGAACUGAGACACGGUCCAA
RNAcentral lists this ribosomal RNA (237 nucleotides) under uncultured bacterium. RNAcentral describes it as "partial 16S ribosomal RNA". It matches the Rfam family "Bacterial small subunit ribosomal RNA", at positions 100 to 334 of the family's 1533-position model. The record is from RNAcentral.